GAGUGGUGGGUAGGUGGAUAGGUGGAUGUUGGUGGUGGAGGAAUGGAUGUAGGUAGAGAAGAGAGAUGGGUGGAGGAGAGUGGAAUCGGAGAAUGCAAAUGGUGGAACAGGUGAAAAUAGGUGGUUGGGAUAGGUGGGUGGAUGUAGGUGGAUAGGAGGAGUGGUGGGUAGGUGGAUAGGUGGAUGUUGGUGGUGGAGGAAUGGAUGUAGGUAGAGAGAUGGAUGGAGGAGAGUGGAAUCGGAGAAUGCAAAUGGUGGAACAGGUGAAUAUAUGUGGUUGGGAUAGGUGGGUGGAUGUAGGUGGAUAGGAGGAGUGGUGGGUAGGUGGAUAGGUGGAUGUUGGUGGUGGAGGAAUGGAUGUUGGUAGAGAAGAGAGAUGGGUGGAGGAGAGUGGAAUCGGAGAAUGCAAAUGGUGGAACAGGUGAAAAUAGGUGGUUGGGAUAGGUGGGUGGAUGUAGGUGGAUAGGAGAAGUGGUGGGUAGGUGGAUAGGUAGGUGGAGGUAAGAGCUAAUUAAUUAAGGUGAAAUGACAUGGGGCUGAGAUGACACACACACACACACACACACACACACACAACCACAACCACACCACCAUCACCACCAUCACCACACAACAUAAAUAUCACAAUCACUUUCAUUACCAUCAACUUCAUCACCACCAUCAUCACCACCAUCAACA
This is a long non-coding RNA of Eriocheir sinensis (Chinese mitten crab), 678 nucleotides long. RefSeq lists it as uncharacterized. The transcript has 3 exons. The record is from RefSeq and is a predicted model, not a curated record. NCBI's taxonomy places the organism in Eukaryota, Metazoa, Arthropoda, Malacostraca, Decapoda, Varunidae.